Molecule: long non-coding RNA, 4664 nt
Filed under: Nicotiana tabacum (common tobacco)
Lineage: Eukaryota; Viridiplantae; Streptophyta; Magnoliopsida; Solanales; Solanaceae
Description: long non-coding RNA (NTAB_LNC006215)
Source: RNAcentral
UUAUCCAGCACAAAACGCCCCAACUAGCCCAGCCAACCGGUUCGACCCGCCCCACUUUCCCCAAAUAUAAGAUACAUAUUAUAAACAAAGACCCAACCCUAAUUUUUGCUCCCAAAUGGUGCCCAGCAUUGUUCAUCACCUCCUUUACCCCCAAUCGAUCCCAACUCUCCUGAAACUCAGGAGAAUUCACUCACACACGGGCCCCAUCUCACCACGUCACCAAGAUUCUAACUGCUUCUGACAAAUUUCCUCUCCUAUGUGCUAGACGCGUUUGGGAAUUUCUGAAGGAUGAAUUCCAUAAAAUGGGAGUCGUGGAUUGAUUUUGGGAUCAAUCAUUUCCUUCCACCUGUCCGGAUUCGUUCUAAAAAGGAUUUUUUUCGGAGUUCUUGAAGAAAAGAAGAGAAACUUCGAGAGAGGGGUAUAUAUACCUAGGUCUGGUUUCAAGUUGAGGGGGUGGGAUUUUUUAAGGCAGAGGUCAUUUGAGAAAAUUAGGGUUCUAGACAAAGUUUCUCUUCUUCUCUUUUGUUCAUCUGCAUUUUUCUUUGUUUAAUUCCACUCACAAUGCAAAAAAUACAAAAAACAAUUGUUUCAUUUAGUUUGAUAUUAGCAUCUUUGUUCUCUUCAUCUUUAAAUUCAGAAAUUUCACGUUUAUUAUGGGUUUGGACUGAGUUCGAGAGCCGAGGUUUGUUCGAAGGUCAUGAUUUGCGAUUCCGAGAUUAAUUUGUUGUUUUUGUACGUAUCAAUUUUUAGCAGAUUGAAGAAAGAUCAUUACAGGUUCGUUUCUUUCCUUCGCUACUUUUCUGGUGUGCAAAAUAUGAUGAAAGCUUAUAAAUAAAUGUUUGAGUUUGAGAUUUAAUAGACGCAUUUAUUUUCGAGUCUCGAAUGGUGUCGACUCUGGAUUUUGAUCGAGCUCUGUUUCAUCUUUGUGCUUAAAGCAUUUUUUGAGUUUGGAUUUACUUAUUUUGAAUGUGUUCAAUUAAAUUCCAGCUUGAUUUUUGAUUCCAUAAGUCUCUUAGAGUAAUCUUAGUGUCAUUUUUAGGCUUAAACUUACUCAAAACAUGCUUACUUCAAGUUUGAGGUCAUUGUAUGAAGGUUCAGUGAUUACUCGUUAUGGUCUCAUGAACAUCUCUGUGUGUUUGGUUAAAUUUGAGCUUUAAAAAUGAAAUCGGAAAUCAUCUUUUGAGUUCCUUGUUUAUUUCUAUAUGAACUAGCAUCGAGUCUUAUCUUCGAGUAUAUAUUAGUGUCAAGUUGUUCUUUACCUCACAUGUUCAGGAACAAGUUUUUGGGGAAUCCUUUUCUUGUUGGGGUUUGAAUUUGAAAUGAGUGCUGAAAUCAUCUUUGGUUCUUCUUUGAAAUGCUGGGAAUUUGAAAUCAUCCGAGGUUUGAAUUUGAAAUGCUGGGAAUCCUUUCUUUCUUCUUUUUUCUUCUAUUUUGUUUUUUCUGUUAAGAUAUGCUAGUAAUUUAACUAAAAAUUAGUUUGAAUUCGUGUCAGUUUCAUGCUAGGUCUGUUCAUUUCUUAAUGAUUCGAGUCUGAAACUAUCCUAAUUCAUCUAUCGAUUAAAAUCUAUUUGUGCUUAUUUGACAUGGUUUGAAUUGUUUGUGACUUUCAUCCUUAAGGAUUUCAAAAGGAUAAGCUAAGGUGUUCCAGUAGUCUAUCCUCCUUCAUUUAAUUAGUCUUUUAAAGUCAGUUGUUGGCAAGACAUAACUAGUAUUUGGAAACUAGAUCAUGUUCAUGUUUGAGUCCCUGCGGGUUAGGUUCAUGUUUUGAUUUCCAAACUUCUGUUAAUUGUCAUGUUUAGAAUUAACUGUUGCUAGAAUUAUUUGGAAGAUCGAUGUUGUAGUUGAAUGGAAAAUGAGUAUCUGUUGUUGGAUUGAGUUGGUUGAAGUUAAGUCAUAAUUGGUCUGAUUGCCUAAGUCUACUGGUGUUUCGAUCCUCUCUGUCAUACCCUUGCACUAAUUUAUACCAGUUUUUAUCUACAAAUGAAAGAUAAUUUUAAGAAGUCAUGUACUUGAUGCAUAUUUGAUCUUUCCAGUUGUGUGGUCGAAUUUAAGUGCCAAUUGAAUUCUAAAAUUGUUCUUUAGUAUUCAUUGAUUGUUGUCAAUCUGUUCGGUUCGUUUUGGCAGUUAGAAUUGUUACAAUCCCUUGUUAAGCUUUAAUUGGCUCGUACUUUAAAAUAGUUAGUCAAGCAAACCAUAUAUUCUGGCUAGUUUGUCUCAAAAAAUUAUUUGGUAUUCUUGGGUAAUGCUAGGGUUGCCGAGAAACUUGCCUCAUUAAAUUGGAAUGCACAUGAACUUGGUUUAAUUUUGAAAUCUUUCUCAAUUUGGAGAAUGUGUCUUUGCUAAGAAUAACUUUGUGUUGAUUGAUUCAAUGACUUGUUAUAAGGAUUGACUCAUUUCUUCAUAUUUCCAUCUUAAUUGAGUUUGGUACAGAGGCAUACGGUUGAACAUAUGGUUCCAUUAUUAUAGUUUCAUUCAUUUGCUUAAUCUGUUAGCGCUAAAGAAACUACAGAUUGUGCUCUUUUUUUGUUGGCAUGCUUGUGAUUUAAAAUGUUGGGUGUGGUGUUUAGUGUAAAAUGAUUGUUUAGUUUGUUGAUUCAGUUAAUUCUUGGCAGCAGAAUGUAGGACGCUUGAGGAAAAGAACCAAAUCUGAGGCUGAUUACAUAAUAUGUCCUUAAAUAUAGAAACAGGUUGAGAUUUUUUGACUGUCUGAAACUUUCGCAAUCAACUUGUGAUGAAUGAAUGGUGAAAAAUAAACUAUCGUGGUUGUGUACACGUUCGCGUGACAUAAUUACGAUCUUAAAAAUAAAAUCGGAGUAUGCGUUCAUGCAACUUCAACCGAAAUUUCUUAAUAAUAACAUAACGUUAUUAAUUGUGGACACGUUCGCGUGACUUGAUUUUUGAUGCGCCAAACAAAUGGGUACACGUACGCGUGACUCGUUUUUUUAGGAUAAUUUCUUAAUGAAAAGAGGUGAAAGCACAUAGGUUCUAAAAAGGGUAAUUAGACAAUUUGAUUAAGCCAAGUAUGAUCAAAGCGACCGUGCUAGAACUAAGAAGCCCAAAAAUGCCUAACACCUUCUCUCGGGUUAACAUAAUUACUUACACGGAUUUCUGUGUUCGCGGACCAUAAAUAAGAGUCAACUUCCUCGAUUCGGAAUUUUAUAUCGGUGACUUAGGACACCAUAAAUUAUCCCAAGUGGUGACUCGGGACACCAUAAAUUAUCCCAAGUGGUGACUCGGGACACCAUAAAUUAUCCCAAGUGGUGACUCUGAUUUUAAUAUAAAUAAUCCCGUUUUGAUUUUCACUUAAAUUGGAAAAAACUCCAUUAUACCCCUUUUCGGGGGUAGUAAAAAGGAGGUGUGACAGCUCUAGCAACUCCGGUGGGGAUAAGAACCCAGAAUCUCUGGUUCGGGGUUCAAUAAUUCGAGAUUUUUAAUAUGAUUUUAUUUGGAUUUAUUUAUAGUUAAUAUUACUGUAUUUUGUGAACAUUUUGUGCUAAUUGUUGUCUAUUUACCGUUUUGAUAUUAUUUGAAUUAUAUAUAACUGUCUUCUUACGCCACCCCUCCGAGUCUUCUGAAAAUGGUGAACACAUUCGCAUUGCCCACUUUUUCUAUAGAAAUUAUACCAAAUAGAACGAGGUUGGGCCAUCAACAAGGCCGGGUAGACUUUAGUGCUCCCGGUAUGUUGUCCCCUCUUCUGCUCGAGUUGUCCGCUCGGGUAAGCCAGGUCAAGAACACAACCCUAGGUUUAAACUUAGAAUAACACAGCCUCAUGUCGGAUCCCUAGUAGGAACGUUUGUUUGCAUCACGUGCAUUUGAUUUUGGGGACUCAACACAGGGAUUGGGCCCAUCUAGGACAGGUGUACACAAAAUAACAGACCAUCCUGAUGCAUCCUACGUGCUAUGUGAACAUUUAUUUGUUUUGGCUUGCAUGUUGACCGGCUAGGAAAAGUGAAUCAAGAGAAAAACCAAGAACGAUAUAGGAAAAAAUAAUGCCCGGCUCUAAAAAUCCCCGGUAAUUGGAAAUAUCCUGAAACUCUGCCAAAAUUUUCAAAAAAAGAGUCAAGGAAAAAGAGUCUUUUCAAAAUGAGUCAAUAAUAUGUCUCUUUCAAAUAUGUCAAAAUUGAUCGAACUACGCAGGUCUGAUUCUCACCGGAUGUGGGAUACAUAGGCAACCUACAUAAGGUUCAGCCUUACUUUUCAAAAAAGAAAAGAAAAAGAAGAAGAAGAGUAAAUAGUCAAAUAGAUGUAGUUUGGGUUCUGGUCAAAAGAGUAAGCCGACCCAGCUUCGGUUAUGUCUUAAGUCGUUCUUGUUGGGAUAGCCUUAGAGUAUCUUUCAGUUGUCGAAUAGCUAUUUUUCGUAAAGAACAGAUAAGUCUGUCGGUAAAGUGUCAUUUUUCCAUAAAGUACUUUUCCCCGUCCUCAAAAUUUAUUUGGAAUUGUGAAGGGGCCACGUUUGCAAAAAACGAUCACUUUUGCUAAAAGUAGCAUAGAGGGGAGGGGGUCAUGGUCCGUUGAUUUUUCUUUUAGAAAUUGAAAAACCUGUAUUACAAAAAGUCCACCAGAGUCAAACCUAACCUUAACCUUCCACAGGUACAAAUGAACAUUGUCCAAAAUUCGUCAGAGUUGGUCAUAGACCAGGCUCAGCUGCAGCUGCAUAUGUGGUG